GAUGAACGCUGGCGGCGUGCCUAACACAUGCAAGUGGAGCGACGAACCCGGACUUGUCCGGGGGCAAAGCCGCGAACGGGUGAGUAACACGUGGAUUAUCUGCCCCAAUGACCGGGACAACUCGAGGAAACUCGAGCUAAUACCGGAUGUGCUCUUCGGAGGAAAGGAAGCUUCGGCCUCCGCAUUGGGAUGAGUCCGCGGUGCAUUAGCUAGUUGGUGGGGUAAAGGCCCACCAAGGCGACGAUGCAUAGCUAGUCUGAGAGGACGAUCAGCCACACUGGGACUGAGACACGGUCCAGACGCCGACGGGAGGCAGCAGUGGGGAAUCUUGCGCAAUGCACGAAAGUGUGACGCAGCAACGCCGCGUGCGGGAAGAAGGUCUUCGGAUCGUAAACCGCUUUCAGUUGGGACGAGGGUUACACGGUGAAUAGCCGGCGUAACUGACGGUACCUUCAGAAGAAGCCCCGGCUAACUACGUGCCAGCAGCCGCCGUAA
RNAcentral lists this ribosomal RNA (495 nucleotides) under uncultured bacterium. RNAcentral describes it as "partial 16S ribosomal RNA". It matches the Rfam family "Bacterial small subunit ribosomal RNA", at positions 28 to 523 of the family's 1533-position model. The record is from RNAcentral.